GUGUCAGCAGCCGCGGUAAGACGUAGGGGGCGAGCGUUGUCCGGAAUUACUGGGCGUAAAGAGCACGUAGGCGGGUAUUUAAGUCAGGUGUGAAAGACCGCGGCCCAACUGCGGGGUUGCACUUGAAACUGAAUAUCUUGAGGGCAGGAGAGGUCAGUGGAAUUCCUGGUGUAGCGGUGAAAUGCGUAGAUAUCAGGAGGAACACCAGUGGCGAAGGCGACUGACUGGACUGACCCUGACGCUGAGGUGUGAAAGCGUGGGUAGCAAACAGGAUUAGAUACCCUGGUAGUCCACGCCGUAAACGAUGGAUACUAGGUGUGGGAGGUAUCGACCCCUUCCGUGCCGGAGCUAACGCAAUAAGUAUCCCGCCUGGGGAGCACGGCCGCAAGGUUGAAACUUAAAUGAAUUGACGG
This 413-nucleotide ribosomal RNA is filed under the name uncultured bacterium. RNAcentral describes it as "bacterial SSU rRNA". It matches the Rfam family "Bacterial small subunit ribosomal RNA", at positions 505 to 916 of the family's 1533-position model. The record is from RNAcentral.